AGAGUUGAUCCUGGCUUAGGAUGAACGCUAGCGACAGGCUUAACACAUGCAAGUCGAGGGGCAGCACGGGAGUAGCAAUACAACUGGUGGCGACCGGCGCACGGGUGAGUAACGCGUAUGCAACCUACCUAUCAGAGGGGAAUAACCCGGCGAAAGUCGGACUAAUACCGCAUAAAACAGGGGCACCGCAUGGUGAUAUUUGUUAAAGAGAUUCGCUGAUAGAUGGGCAUGCGUUCCAUUAGGUAGUUGGUGAGGUAACGGCUCACCAAGCCGACGAUGGAUAGGGGAACUGAGAGGUUGGUCCCCCACACUGGUACUGAGACACGGACCAGACUCCUACGGGAGGCAGCAGUGAGGAAUAUUGGUCAAUGGGCGGGAGCCUGAACCAGCCAAGUCGCGUGAAGGAAGAAGGAUCUAUGGUUCGUAAACUUCUUUUGCAGGGGAAUAAAGUGCAGGACGUGUCCUGUUUUGUAUGUACCCUGAGAAUAAGGAUCGGCUAACUCCGUGCCAGCCGCUGC
This 518-nucleotide ribosomal RNA is filed under the name uncultured bacterium. RNAcentral describes it as "bacterial SSU rRNA". It matches the Rfam family "Bacterial small subunit ribosomal RNA", at positions 8 to 518 of the family's 1533-position model. The record is from RNAcentral.